UCGGAAUCCGCACCCAUCCACGCGUGGCAGGAGCGGGGGACCCAGGUAAGCGCCGUCCGGAAUUCCGGCACGGCUCGGGGUGAAGCCGGAGCACCGCACGCGGUGCCCGGCCGGGCAGCUCCAGCCCGAACCCGACAGCUCACCUCGCAGGCGCCGGAGAGGAAUC
RNAcentral lists this small RNA (166 nucleotides) under Streptomyces sp. RNAcentral describes it as "c-di-AMP sequence". It matches the Rfam family "c-di-AMP riboswitch aptamer (ydaO/yuaA leader)". Rfam says of the family: This family represents a conserved RNA structure found upstream of the ydaO and yuaA genes in Bacillus subtilis and related genes in other bacteria. The record is from RNAcentral. Lineage: Bacteria; Bacillati; Actinomycetota; Actinomycetes; Kitasatosporales; Streptomycetaceae. RNAcentral also lists the same sequence under 1 other name.